Xiphophorus couchianus (Monterrey platyfish) is the source of this 6294-nucleotide RNA transcript. It is a transcript of the gene named ATPase sarcoplasmic/endoplasmic reticulum Ca2+ transporting 2b, with no coding region annotated. The record is from RefSeq and is a predicted model, not a curated record. The transcript has 24 exons. Lineage: Eukaryota; Metazoa; Chordata; Actinopteri; Cyprinodontiformes; Poeciliidae.
GAAGAAACGCGAUUGGUGCCGAUCACAACCCUGGUGAUUCCACAACACACAGUCUGGCAGCGGGCGAGAGCAGCCAAGCCGCAACUCAAACACAUGUUUAAAUUACCUAUUUAGAAAGACUGUUUGAGGAUUUAGCGACUUUAAAACGAGCGGGCGAGCGUGAUAGUCUUCAACUGGUCUGGUGCCGAUAUAAAUUCUUGUUGAACGGUAUCGCCAAAGAGCUAGCGGAACACAGCCGGCGAAUUCAAGCUGAGGCAACGUAGCUUUAGCUUGUUAGCUUCUGGUUAGCAAAGCGACCCGCUAAUUCGUUCGCUCUCGGCGUACACCUGCGUCCCACGCUGUCCCGUGUACAACUACCUGGCAGCUUACGCUCCUCGCUGUGGACUUUCGCUCGUUUUUCUUUUUAAACGAGUGUGGAAACACCGGGUGGAGGAACAGGAACCGAGCCCGGUUAAAGGUUAGGAGCAGAGGGAACAAGCUGUGUUCUCGAGUGGCCGUUCACCAUGGACAACGCACACACGAAGACGGUGGAGGAAGUUUUCAGCUUUUUCAACGUAAAUGAGAGCACAGGUCUGAGUUUAGAGGAGGUAAAGAAACAACGGGAGCGAUUUGGACCUAACGAAUUGCCAGCAGAGGAGGGCAAAUCUCUUUGGGAGCUGGUGAUUGAACAGUUUGAAGAUCUGCUUGUGAGGAUCCUUUUACUUGCUGCCUGUAUAUCCUUUGUUCUGGCCUGGUUUGAAGAGGGAGAAGAAACCGUCACAGCCUUUGUGGAGCCUUUUGUUAUCUUGCUUAUUCUCAUAGCAAAUGCCAUCGUAGGAGUCUGGCAGGAGCGAAAUGCAGAAAAUGCCAUUGAAGCUUUGAAGGAAUAUGAGCCAGAGAUGGGGAAGGUGUAUCGCCAGGACAGGAAAAGCGUUCAGAGAAUCAAAGCCAGGGACAUUGUGCCUGGCGACAUCGUGGAAGUUGCUGUUGGUGAUAAAGUGCCUGCAGACAUCAGGCUGACUUCUAUAAAGUCGACCACCCUGAGGGUAGAUCAGUCGAUUCUUACAGGAGAGUCUGUAUCGGUGAUCAAGCACACAGAUCCAGUUCCAGAUCCACGAGCCGUCAACCAGGACAAAAAAAACAUGCUGUUUUCUGGCACCAACAUCGCAGCAGGUAAAGCUGUAGGUGUGGUGGUGGCCACAGCCGGCAACACAGAGAUCGGCAAAAUCCGAGAUGAGAUGGCGUCCACAGAGCAGGAGCGCACGCCCCUGCAGCAGAAGCUGGAUGAGUUUGGGCAGCAACUAUCAAAGGUCAUCUCAUUGAUCUGCAUUGCUGUUUGGAUCAUCAAUAUCGGACAUUUUAAUGACCCGGUCCAUGGAGGCUCUUGGAUCCGAGGUGCAGUCUAUUAUUUCAAGAUCGCGGUGGCUCUGGCAGUCGCUGCUAUUCCUGAGGGUCUGCCUGCUGUCAUCACUACCUGUCUGGCUUUGGGAACGCGCCGCAUGGCCAAGAAAAACGCUAUUGUCCGCAGUUUGCCCUCCGUGGAGACCCUUGGCUGUACAUCUGUCAUCUGCUCUGACAAAACUGGGACGCUGACCACCAAUCAGAUGUCUGUCUGCCGGAUGUUUAUUAUUGAUAAAACCGAGGGGGAUCACUGUCCGUUAAAGGAAUUCACUGUUACGGGCUCCACAUACGCUCCAGACGGAGAAGUCUAUCAUAAUGGCAAACCAGUAAAAUGCUCCCACUAUGAUGCCUUGGUUGAGCUGGCCACUAUCUGUGCUCUCUGUAAUGACUCAUCACUGGAUUAUAAUGAGACCAAAGGUGUCUAUGAGAAGGUAGGAGAAGCCACAGAAACAGCGCUGACGUGUCUGGUGGAGAAAAUGAAUGUGUUUGAUACAGACAUUAAAAACCUGUCCACGGUUGAGCGAGCCAAUGCCUGCAACUCUGUCAUCAAGCAGCUCAUGAAGAAGGAAUUCACUUUGGAAUUUUCCAGAGACAGGAAGUCUAUGUCCGUAUACUGCACUCCAAAUAAAGCACGGUCCUCUGUUGGCAAGAUGUUUGUAAAGGGUGCCCCAGAGGGAGUUAUUGACAGGUGCACACACAUCCGUGUUGGCAGCAACAAGGUGCCGAUGACCCCUGGCAUCAAGGAGAAGAUCAUGUCUGUGAUCAGAGAGUAUGGGACCGGCAGAGACACUCUGCGCUGCCUGGCUCUGGCGACGCGAGAUAACCCUGUAAACAAAGAGAACCUUGUGUUGGAAGACUCUUCUCGCUUUGUGGAAUAUGAGACUGAUCUGACGUUUGUGGGUUGCGUCGGCAUGCUGGAUCCACCCAGAGCGGAGGUGGCCGCUUCCAUCAGGCUUUGCCGUCUUGCAGGCAUCAGAGUAAUCAUGAUCACCGGAGACAACAAGGGUACAGCAGUAGCCAUCUGCAGACGUAUUGGCAUCUUUGGGGAGGAGGACGAUGUUUCCAGCAUGGCUUUCACUGGCAGAGAGUUUGAUGACCUCUCACCUGCCGCACAGAGAGAUGCUGUGGUCAAGGCUCGUUGCUUCGCUCGCGUUGAGCCAGCACACAAAUCCAAGAUCGUCGAGUAUCUGCAGUCCUACGAUGAGAUCACAGCUAUGACCGGUGACGGAGUGAACGAUGCCCCUGCUCUGAAGAAGGCUGAGAUUGGCAUUGCCAUGGGCUCCGGAACAGCUGUGGCCAAAACUGCGUCGGAGAUGGUGCUGGCUGAUGAUAACUUUUCCACCAUCGUAGCUGCAGUCGAGGAAGGCAGAGCCAUUUAUAACAACAUGAAGCAGUUCAUCAGAUACCUCAUCUCCUCCAAUGUUGGUGAAGUUGUCUGCAUCUUCCUGACUGCAGCUCUGGGUUUCCCAGAGGCACUCAUCCCCGUUCAGCUCCUCUGGGUCAACCUGGUGACUGAUGGGUUGCCCGCCACUGCCUUAGGAUUCAAUCCCCCCGACUUGGACAUCAUGAGCAAACCUCCACGAAAUGCUCGGGAGCCCCUCAUCUCCGGAUGGCUUUUCUUUAGAUACCUUGCCAUUGGAUGUUACGUUGGAGCUGCUACUGUUGGCGCCGCUGCUUGGUGGUUUGUUGCUGCUGAGGAUGGACCAAGGAUCACCUUUUACCAGCUGAGCCAUUUCCUGCAAUGUGGCCCAGAGAACCCCGACUACCAGGGUCUGGACUGUAAGGUUUUUGAGUCCCCUUACCCCAUGACCAUGGCCCUGUCGGUGUUGGUUACUAUAGAGAUGUGCAAUGCCCUCAACAGUGUGUCAGAGAAUCAGUCGCUGCUGCGGAUGCCUCCCUGGGAGAACGUUUGGCUGCUGGGUGCCAUCUGCCUCUCCAUGUCCCUUCACUUCCUCAUCCUCUAUGUGGAGCCACUUCCAAUCAUCUUCCAGAUCACCCCUCUUAACCUCACCCAGUGGCUAAUGGUGCUGAAGAUCUCGCUGCCCGUCAUCCUGCUUGAUGAGCUGCUGAAGUUCGCUGCCAGGAACUACCUGGAGCGCAACAGAGAGCUGGAGAAGCUCCCCAGCUCCAAAGGCUGCUGCCUGUUUGCAUGUAUGGAGGGCAUCUCCUGGCCCUUUGUGGCCAUUUCCCUCCCUCUGGUCCUCUGGAUCUACAGCUCUGACACUAACCUGGCUGACAUGUUCAUGUCCUGACUGACUUGAGCACAACCUCAACUUUUUUCCAUUCCCCCCCUCCCUCAGCCCCCAACUCCACCCCUCACCCACUGCCAUCACCUCCUCCCUUCCUUCUCUCUCUGCCUUCCUAAUUGUUCAUAGUUAGCUAGCUAGCGUGUGUAUGCGUGUGCGUUUGUAGAGUUAGAGUUGUGUGUGCGCGUGUGAGCUUGUGUGCACGAGAAGGACCAACUGUAACUCAUAAAACGCAACAAAUAAUAUAAAAAAAGUUAAAAUUUAAGUCGCCUGUUUGAGGUGGGUCAGGACUUAUGAAUGGCUGAAGCUUUGAAGUGGCUCCCAUUGGGUUGGACUUUGUUGCUGGUUUAAGAGUAAAUAUAGUGUUGCCAGUUCUUUUUUUUUUUUUCCAUUGUCAGUUUUGCCUUUAAGGUAUGUUUUAAAUGUUAGGAUUAUCUGCAUUCUGCCCUACGUCACUACUGUUAGAGAAUUUUGUUUAGGCUCCCCUUCUCCUGAACACGUUAAAAAGUAAAGAUAUCAAAUCAGUUGAUCUGUACAGAGAUUGAACAAUAUUUUAUGCAAUUUUUUUUAAAUGGCUUUGUAAAUUGUUUAAGCAGCGUGGCUUAGAAAAACCGCCUUGAUUUACUUUCUGUUAACCAUUGUGUCUUCAGUAUAAAUUCAAAACUCUCUGAGAGGACAAGCUCCAUUCGGCAGACAAGAAACAAGGGAAAGGUUUGGGAUGCUCGGCUUUAAUAAAAAGGAAAAAUAAAAUCCUGAGAAACAAAAAAAGCUGCAUGCCCUGUGACCAAGCAUGAACUCUAUGUGGUUUCUCAUUUCAAAUUUAAAUGUGUACGCCCACCCCACCUUGUUAAAACAUAAGUAGCUUUGUGGAUUUUUUAUAAUUUUUUUUUUUUUUUACGAUAUUGAUUAAAAAUGAAGUCGGUUUUUCUGCACUAGGCAGAGCACAGCUACCUCAGUAUGAUGAAAAAUGCAUUUUUUUUAAAAUUGUUUUGCUCAUCUCGAGAUGCUUUCCCUCAACACAUCUUGCUAAAAGAUAACAUCUGAGGUGUGCCCCCUACUUGCUUGUGCAGAAAACGAAGAACAUCUUUCUUCCCCUUUAACUUUUUUUAAGGAUGUGUCUUAUUUGUAUUGAUUGUGACAUUCUUUAACUUAAUUUGUUGUGGAGACAGAGCUGGGUGGGGAUGCUUUAUGUUGUCUUAACAUUUCCAUAGUGUUUGAUUCAAAGGACAUCAAAAAAACAUUAUCCUACAAUACUAAUACAAGUUGUCCAAAUGAACAUUGAUUGCAGAUCAAAACCCUAAAUGUUGUUUUUUUUUCUAUAAAAAAGAAAAAAUACACUCACAAUGAACCCUUUGAAUCAAGUGUUUUCUGUCUUUAUUUGUUUGAGACUCAUGGUUAUUACAUUUCAUAUCCAGUGUUUUUGUAUGUGCAUAUAUUCCUAUAACAAUAAUUUAUAAAAAAACGAAUGCUUUAGUUUUUCUGAGUUCAGAUGUUGGAUCAGAUCCUUCAGUAAUUUGCAUUUGUGGAUAUUUUCCAUGUGUGAAAAACUCAACUAAAGCAUGUUUUUAGGUAGAAGCCUGGUUGUUCUCACUGCCUGUGUUUGUCUUAACAAAUGUGUGCUUUUAUUUUCUUCAAUGCCUUCCAUUGGCUCCCCUGUCAUUAGAGUCAGUUUUCAUGAAAGCUUUUGGCAAUCAGAGCAGAAUAAGAAGUUGGGAAUCGUCUUUCCACAAAGUGUGCGCUCACGCAUAAUCUCCCUCACUGCAGACACCGUGAUGACCAGCAGCACACACACACGGGUGAAAAGAACAUGUUUUCAGAAUGCAUACAGUUAUCCUGCUAGUUGUCCCUUUCUCCUCCAACUUCUAACACAAUAAAAUUCCCGCAGUGAGUCACACAUUCCUCUGUGUGCAAAUGCUAAAUUAGGACGAUUAUCCAGCUAUAUGUGCAGGGAUGUCCUGAAAUGCUCCCCUCCUGAGUCCUCCUUGCAUGAAGAAGUUCUUCCAUUGAUAGCUCGUCAGUCGCAUCGGUCACUUUGCAGAAAAAGUGGGUUGAAUGGUCUUAGCUGUACAUCAGUGUACAAAAACAUUCAUGCAUGCGUUUCAGCUGUAUGUAGGCUUUACAAAUUUGUAUUUAUAGAUUCUAAUGUAUAAUACUCUAAUGACUUAAAGAGCGUUUUAAGAAAGAUAAAGAAAAGUUGUAAAAUCACUUUUUAUUGUAAUGGUUUGGGUCAUUUGCACAAUGUUAGACAUGAAUACCUGAUUCAUGCUGAACUUGACUGUGCUUAACCUUAGCAUUUUUUUUAAAAAUAGUAUUUUUUUUUUAUCCCAUCACUUAACGUGAGAAUACCACUUACUCUGCCAGUUAAUUUAAUGAAUUAGCCAAUAGCAUCUAGGUUAGCAGACUGUCGUUCAUUUCACAGUGAACCUGCAAUACAGCUCGUUUGAUUUUUCUUAUUGCCUUGACAUUCCUAUAAUUAUCUAUCUUUAUCAACUGCUGUAAAACUGUGAUUUAAUGUGAGGAACCCUGUAUGGCCUCCUCCUGACACCUGGUAGAAGAACAAUAUUAAUCAUAUGUAAACGUCAAUCAUUACUGAAGGCUGAUAAUGAUUGUACAGUAAAUACAUUACCGAGGUUGUGAUUUCAGGUAAAUAAAAUAAUCUAGUAUUUGA